AUGAACGCUGGCGGCGUGCCUAAUACAUGCAAGUCGAGCGAACGGACGAGAAGCUUGCUUCUCUGAUGUUAGCGGCGGACGGGUGAGUAACACGUGGAUAACCCACCUAUAAGACUGGGAUAACUUCGGGAAACCGUAGCUAAUACCGGAUAAUAUUUUGAACCGCAUGGUUCAAAAGUGAAAGACGGUCUUGCUGUCACUUAUAGAUGGAUCCGCGCUGCACUAGCUAGUUGGUAAGGUAACGGCUUACCAAGGCAACGAUGCAUAGCCGACCUGAGAGGGUGAUCGGCCACACUGGAACUGAGACACGGUCCAGACUCCUACGGGAGGCAGCAGUAGGGAAUCUUCCGCAAUGGGCGAAAGCCUGACGGAGCAACGCCGCGUGAGUGAUGAAGGUCUUCGGAUCGUAAAACUCUGUUAUUAGGGAAGAACAUAUGUGUAAGUAACUGUGCACAUCUUGACGGUACCUAAUCAGAAAGCCACGGCUAACUACGUG
RNAcentral lists this ribosomal RNA (496 nucleotides) under uncultured bacterium. RNAcentral describes it as "partial 16S ribosomal RNA". It matches the Rfam family "Bacterial small subunit ribosomal RNA", at positions 29 to 507 of the family's 1533-position model. The record is from RNAcentral.